UACGGAGGGUGCAAGCGUUAUCCGGAUUUACUGGGUUUAAAGGGUGCGUAGGCGGACAGGUAAGUCAGUGGUGAAAUCCCCCGAGCUCAACUUGGGAACUGCCGUUGAUACUAUCUGUCUUGAAUACCGUGGAGGUGAGCGGAAUAUGUCAUGUAGCGGUGAAAUGCUUAGAUAUGACAUAGAACACCGAUUGCGAAGGCAGCUCACUACGCGGUCAUUGACGCUGAGGCACGAAAGCGUGGGGAGCAAACGGG
Molecule: ribosomal RNA, 254 nt
Filed under: uncultured bacterium
Lineage: Bacteria
Description: partial 16S ribosomal RNA
Rfam family: Bacterial small subunit ribosomal RNA
Source: RNAcentral